UACGGAGGGGGCAAGCGUUGUUCGGAAUUAUUGGGCGUAAAGGGCAUGUAGGCGGUUUGGUAAGUUAAAGGUGAAAUACCAGGGCUUAACCCUGGGGCUGCUUUUAAUACUGCAGGACUAGAGUCCGGAAGAGGAUAGCGGAAUUCCUAGUGUAGAGGUGAAAUUCGUAGAUAUUA
This 176-nucleotide ribosomal RNA is filed under the name uncultured Anaplasma sp. RNAcentral's name for it is "partial 16S ribosomal RNA". It matches the Rfam family "Bacterial small subunit ribosomal RNA", at positions 524 to 699 of the family's 1533-position model. The record is from RNAcentral. Lineage: Bacteria; Pseudomonadati; Pseudomonadota; Alphaproteobacteria; Rickettsiales; Anaplasmataceae.